AUAAUACAAUUCAGGAUUUUUUGCUAAAGUGUGAGUCCCAUUGUACAGCGCUACGGAAUUUACUGGCGUUAUAUAAAUAAUAAAGUAAUAAUAAUUGUCAAGAAUUCAAAGUGAAUAUCAAAUUUUAAGCCAAAAGUAGUUAAAUUGGAAACAUUUCUCCAUGUCAGCUAUAUUUGGCAAUCUUACAAUUUCGUUUCCAAUUUACAAUUGAG
Molecule: non-coding RNA, 212 nt
Organism: Pelobates cultripes (western spadefoot toad)
Lineage: Eukaryota; Metazoa; Chordata; Amphibia; Anura; Pelobatidae
Source: the annotation of a GenBank genome assembly